RNAcentral lists this ribosomal RNA (300 nucleotides) under uncultured Facklamia sp. RNAcentral describes it as "bacterial SSU rRNA". The stretch from base 52 to 300 matches the Rfam family "Bacterial small subunit ribosomal RNA", at positions 547 to 795 of the family's 1533-position model. Lineage: Bacteria; Bacillati; Bacillota; Bacilli; Lactobacillales; Aerococcaceae. The record is from RNAcentral.
GAUACAGAAGAGCAAGAAUAGGGGGUAAUAAGUGGGGUGGAUGAGUGGAUCGGAACAAAUGGUCGCAAAGCGUGCACAGGCGGAGUGGUAAGACAGGCGUGAAGGCCCCGGGCUAGACGCGGAAACUUCGAUGGUGAAGGCCUCACGAGAGUACGGCGGAGGGGGGUGGAAUUCCAGGGGUAGCAGUGAAAUGCGUAGAGAUGUGGAGGAACACCGAUGGCGAAGGCAGACACCUGGGCCGAUACUGACGGUCAUGCACGAAAGCGUGGGUAGCAAACAGGAUUAGAUACCCGUGUAGUC